GCCGAGGUAGCUCAGAGGUAGAGCACUGGUUUGAAGAGCCAGGUGUCGGCAGUUCGAUUCUGCCCCGCGGCACCA
RNAcentral lists this transfer RNA (75 nucleotides) under subsurface metagenome. RNAcentral's name for it is "tRNA-Phe". It matches the Rfam family "tRNA". Rfam says of the family: Transfer RNA (tRNA) molecules are approximately 80 nucleotides in length. The record is from RNAcentral.